CAGAGUGGUCACACAGAAGGGAACUGAGGUGCCCACACCGACAGCCUCGGCCAGCUGCCCGUCAUGUGGGUGAGGCCAGGGGGGGCCCCCAGCCCCCAGCAGACUCCCAAACCACCGGCAGCAGAGAUAAGCCAUCCCAGCCAAGCCUUGCCCAACUCGUCAAUCCAGAGAAUUGUGAGCCAUUGAACGGUUCCAGUUUUAAGCCACUGUUCUGGAGUGUUUGUUACGGAGCAAAAGAUAAUCAAGAUGAAAGCACUGAGGCAUGAGAAAGAGAAGGAACUUGACCAAGAUGGCAGAACAGGAAGUGAGCUGCAAGCUUGAUGACAAUUUACCUCUGACCAGAUGAGCUAUUAUCUCAGAAAAACAAAAACACUCUCCUCCACAACUGUUAUCACACUCAAUAAAUUUAAGUUGAUGCAAUAAUAUUACCUCAUAAAUAUACCUCCUCCUGAGGUCCCCCCAGCUCAGUGCCCACCCCAGGCC
Molecule: long non-coding RNA, 483 nt
Organism: Callorhinus ursinus (northern fur seal)
Lineage: Eukaryota; Metazoa; Chordata; Mammalia; Carnivora; Otariidae
Source: RefSeq, a predicted model, not a curated record